CCUACAGGUGGCAGCAGUGGGGAAUAUUGGGCAAUGGGCGCAAGCCUUACCCAGCAAUACCGCGUGAGUGAAGAAGGUCUUCGGAUUGUAAAGCUCUUUGAUCAGGGACGAACAGAUGACGGUACCUGAAGAAAAAGCCCCGGCUAACUACGUGCCAGCAGCCGCGGUAAAACGUAGGGGGCGAGCGUUGUCCGGAAUGACUGGGCUGAAAGGGUGCGUAGGCGGCAGAAUAAGUUAGAAGGGAAAUACCCAGGGCUUAACUCGGGUGCUGCUUCUAAGACUGUUGAGCUUGAGUGCGGGAGAGGUUAAUGGAAUUCCUAGGGUAGCGGUGGAAUGCGUAGAUAUUAGGAGGAACACCAGAGGCGAAGGCGAUUAACUGGACCGUAACUGACGCUGAGGCACGAAAGUGUGGGUAGCAAACAGGAUUAGAUACCCGUGUAGUC
Molecule: ribosomal RNA, 443 nt
Filed under: uncultured bacterium
Lineage: Bacteria
Description: partial 16S ribosomal RNA
Rfam family: Bacterial small subunit ribosomal RNA
Source: RNAcentral